GGGUUGUGAGGUUAAGCGACUAAGCGUACACGGUGGAUGCCCUGGCAGUCAGAGGCGAUGAAGGGCGUGCUAAUCUGCGAUAAGCGCCGGUAAGGUGAUAUGAACCGUUAUAACCGGCGAUACCCGAAUGGGGAAACCCAGUGUGAUUCGUCACACUAUCAUUACGUGAAUACAUAGCGUAAUGAAGCGAACCGGGGGAACUGAAACAUCUAAGUACCCCGAGGAAAAGAAAUCAACCGAGAUUCCCCCAGUAGCGGCGAGCGAACGGGGAGGAGCCCAGAGCCUGAAUCAGCAUGUGUGUUAGUGGAAGCGUCUGGAAAGGCGCGCGAUACAGGGUGACAGCCCCGUACACAAAAGCGCAUGUGUUGUGAGCUCGAUGAGUAGGGCGGGACACGUGGUAUCCUGUCUGAAUAUGGGGGGACCAUCCUCCAAGGCUAAAUACUCCUGACUGACCGAUAGUGAACCAGUACCGUGAGGGAAAGGCGAAAAGAACCCCGGCGAGGGGAGUGAAAAAGAACCUGAAACCGUGUACGUACAAGCAGUGGGAGCACCCUUUGGGGUGUGACUGCGUACCUUUUGUAUAAUGGGUCAGCGACUUAUAUUCUGUAGCAAGGUUAACCGAAUAGGGGAGCCGGAGGGAAACCGAGUCUUAAUUGGGCGUUAAGUUGCAGGGUAUAGACCCGAAACCCGGUGAUCUAGCCAUGGGCAGGUUGAAGGUUGGGUAACACUAACUGGAGGACCGAACCGACUAAUGUUGAAAAAUUAGCGGAUGACCUGUGGCUGGGGGUGAAAGGCCAAUCAAACCGGGAGAUAGCUGGUUCUCCCCGAAAGCUAUUUAGGUAGCGCCUCGUGAAUUCAUCUCCGGGGGUAGAGCACUGUUUCGGCUAGGGGGCCAUCCCGGCUUACCAACCCGAUGCAAACUGCGAAUACCGGAGAAUGUUAUCACGGGAGACACACGGCGGGUGCUAACGUCCGUCGUGAAGAGGGAAACAACCCAGACCGCCAGCUAAGGUCCCAAAGUCAUAGUUAAGUGGGAAACGAUGUGGGAAGGCCCAGACAGCCAGGAUGUUGGCUUAGAAGCAGCCAUCAUUUAAAGAAAGCGUAAUAGCUCACUGGUCGAGUCGGCCUGCGCGGAAGAUGUAACGGGGCUAAACUAUGCACCGAAGCUGCGGCAGCGACACUA
Molecule: ribosomal RNA, 1183 nt
Filed under: Salmonella enterica
Lineage: Bacteria; Pseudomonadati; Pseudomonadota; Gammaproteobacteria; Enterobacterales; Enterobacteriaceae
Description: partial 23S ribosomal RNA
Rfam family: Bacterial large subunit ribosomal RNA
Source: RNAcentral